Molecule: non-coding RNA, 792 nt
Filed under: Molipteryx lunata
Lineage: Eukaryota; Metazoa; Arthropoda; Insecta; Hemiptera; Coreidae
Source: RNAcentral
AAUUAAUUAAGAUUGAUUUUGUCUUUUUUUGAUUAAUUAUUAGUUGAGUGAUUUUAAAUACUAGUUUUUGCGUGUUUUAAUAAUUUAUCUAAAUGAUUAUUAUUAUUUUUAGUUGUAGUUUUUGAUUUUGUUAAUUACAUAAGUGUAGAUUUAGUCAAUUAAGUUUAGGAUUGUUUAAAAUUGUGCCAGCAUACGCGGUUAUACAAUUGAUCCAAGUUAAUUUUUUUGGUUUAUAUUAAUUAAUUUAUUUUGGGGGUUUAUGUUGAAUUAUUAGGUGAAAUUUUUAAUUUGAUUGAUAUUUUUUGGGUUUAAGAUUAUAUAAAAUUUAGGCUAUAAACUAGGAUUAGAUACCCUAUUAUUCUAAAUGUAAGAUUUAACCAUAGUAUUAAUAGUUAGGGUCUUUAAAUUAAAAAAAUUUGGCGGUAAUUUAGUCUUUUCAGAGGAACCUGUUCUUUAAUCGAUAAUCCACGUUGGAUUUAACCUUGAGAUUAUUGCUUGUAUAUCUCUGUUAUUGAGUGUUUUAUUAGAAUAUUUUCUUAAAUUAAUAGUUUAAUUAAUAUCAGGUCAAGGUGCAGCUAUAUCAAGGGUUGUAAUGGGUUACAUUUAAUGUUAUUUAUUGGUUUGCUAUUAUUGAAAAUCAUUUAGUAAGAAAAAGGAUUUGAAAGUAAUUUCUAUUAUUUUAUAUAAAUGAUUUUAGCUCUAAAUUAUGCACACAUCGCCCGUCACUCUUGUUAAUAAGAUAAGAUAAGUCGUAACAAAGUAAUUUUACCGGAAGGUGAGGUUUGAACUAAA